AACGAUGAAAGCUUCUAGCUUGCUAGAAGUGGAUUAGUGGCGCACGGGUGAGUAAAGCAUAGGUUAUGUGCCCCAUAGUCUGGGAUAGCCACUGGAAACGGUGAUUAAUACCGGAUACUCCUUACGAGGGAAAGUUUUUCGCUAUGGGAUCAGCCUAUGUCCUAUCAGCUUGUUGGUGAGGUAAUGGCUCACCAAGGCUAUGACGGGUAUCCGGCCUGAGAGGGUGAACGGACACACUGGAACUGAGACACGGUCCAGACUCCUACGGGAGGCAGCAGUAGGGAAUAUUGCUCAAUGGGCGAAAGCCUGAAGCAGCAACGCCGCGUGGAGGAUGAAGGUUUUAGGAUUGUAAACUCCUUUUGUUAGAGAAGAUUAUGACGGUAUCUCACGAAUAAGC
RNAcentral lists this ribosomal RNA (397 nucleotides) under uncultured Helicobacter sp. RNAcentral's name for it is "bacterial SSU rRNA". It matches the Rfam family "Bacterial small subunit ribosomal RNA", at positions 65 to 491 of the family's 1533-position model. The record is from RNAcentral. Lineage: Bacteria; Pseudomonadati; Campylobacterota; Epsilonproteobacteria; Campylobacterales; Helicobacteraceae.